UACGAGGGGAGCGAGCGUUGUCCGGAAUUACUAGGCGUAAAGGGCAAGUAGGCGGAAAUGUAAGUCAGGCGUUAAAGGCAUCGGCUCAACCGGUGUACGGCGUUUGAUACUGUGUUUCUAGAGUAUGGUAUGGGAAGACGGAAUUCCUGGUGUAGCGGUGGAAUGCGCAGAUAUCAGGAAGAACAUCAGUGGCGAAGGCGGUCUUCUGAGCCAAUACUGACGCUCAAUUGCGAAGGUGUGGGUAUCGAACAGG
This 253-nucleotide ribosomal RNA is filed under the name uncultured bacterium. Its description in RNAcentral is "partial 16S ribosomal RNA". It matches the Rfam family "Bacterial small subunit ribosomal RNA", at positions 524 to 776 of the family's 1533-position model. The record is from RNAcentral.